Molecule: non-coding RNA, 634 nt
Organism: Camellia sinensis
Lineage: Eukaryota; Viridiplantae; Streptophyta; Magnoliopsida; Ericales; Theaceae
Source: RefSeq, a predicted model, not a curated record
UUUUGUUACUGUUUUGAAGGAAGGGGUAGCUGGUUGCUGUGUUGCUGGUUGCUGGUUGCUUGCUGCUUCUUCAUUCUGGUUGCUGCCGACUAUGUGUUGCUACUGCUGGCUUGGAUCAGUGAGCUGAUAAUUGGCUUCUUGCUUCAUCCCCCACUGCAAAGUCUCUACGUCUACAGUAUAAUUCCACAGAACCAAAUUCAGUAGAUGAAGAAGGUUAACCCACAAACGCUGGUUAGCAUCCCUCCUGUGGAAACCAAUUCCCUUAACAAAGAAAGUUGCUUGCUCAAAAUCCCACCAAUGGUGAUUGAGAACUAGUUCGGCUUAUGAGGAGGGAAAGUUCUGUGAGACUUUCCAUUUGGAUGCUUCUGGUUGGAGGUGCUGCGAGUCUUGUGGGAAGCAAAUUCAUUGUGGAUGCAUCGUGUCAUUCCAUAUGUUUGUACUGUUGGAUGCUGGAGGAAUUGACUGCAUAACGUGUGCAAGAAAAAGUUUCAUUUUGGUGAGUUUUCUACAUUUUUUUAAUGAUUAUUUAUUAUUAUUUAUUUAAUUUUUGCGACCACUGGGUUAUCAGUAAUGCCAUAUUAGUGAAACUUGCCAGGCAAAUUCCAUGUAUUAAUGCUGAUUCUCUACUAUGGGU